Microcebus murinus (gray mouse lemur) is the source of this 449-nucleotide non-coding RNA. The record is from RefSeq and is a predicted model, not a curated record. NCBI's taxonomy places the organism in Eukaryota, Metazoa, Chordata, Mammalia, Primates, Cheirogaleidae.
UAUUUUGCAAAGUGAUUAUACCAUUUUAUUCUGUGGUUUUUAAGCAGAAGAAAGAUUUGGUUUUCCAUUUCUGCUAAACUGAGGAGCAAACAAACCCAGAAACUGAAUGAGGAGUCAAUUUAAUUUUGAAAGAGUUUAUAACAAGUUUAUUAAUAAUGUGGCAUUUGCUCUCCUUUCUGAUUUUCCUGGGAGACCAUCAUAAACAGAAUUCUAAGAAGACUCUCUUAAACUCCCAUAUAAGUUUCCUUCUUGAAACCAAGCAAGCUGAUCCAAGAUAGAGAGGACUCAAUAAAAUAAACAGCUGGAAAUAAGCAGACUACUGUAAGAGUGAAUUGAAAAGAAAACCCAAUGAAACAAGUCAGAAAGUCAGUGGAGUUAAAAACAGAGUGAAAUGCUCUGAGAAGCCCAUGCUGUUCGCCCAGCAGGACAUCAGGAGCUGAAAUUCCUGC